This 1062-nucleotide ribosomal RNA is filed under the name Staphylococcus aureus. RNAcentral describes it as "partial 23S ribosomal RNA". It matches the Rfam family "Bacterial large subunit ribosomal RNA", at positions 364 to 1434 of the family's 2925-position model. The record is from RNAcentral. Lineage: Bacteria; Bacillati; Bacillota; Bacilli; Caryophanales; Staphylococcaceae.
GUAAUAAUCCUGUAGUCGAAAAUGUUGUCUCUCUUGAGUGGAUCCUGAGUACGACGGAGCACGUGAAAUUCCGUCGGAAUCUGGGAGGACCAUCUCCUAAGGCUAAAUACUCUCUAGUGACCGAUAGUGAACCAGUACCGUGAGGGAAAGGUGAAAAGCACCCCGGAAGGGGAGUGAAAUAGAACCUGAAACCGUGUGCUUACAAGUAGUCAGAGCCCGUUAAUGGGUGAUGGCGUGCCUUUUGUAGAAUGAACCGGCGAGUUACGAUUUGAUGCAAGGUUAAGCAGUAAAUGUGGAGCCGUAGCGAAAGCGAGUCUGAAUAGGGCGUUUAGUAUUUGGUCGUAGACCCGAAACCAGGUGAUCUACCCUUGGUCAGGUUGAAGUUCAGGUAACACUGAAUGGAGGACCGAACCGACUUACGUUGAAAAGUGAGCGGAUGAACUGAGGGUAGCGGAGAAAUUCCAAUCGAACCUGGAGAUAGCUGGUUCUCUCCGAAAUAGCUUUAGGGCUAGCCUCAAGUGAUGAUUAUUGGAGGUAGAGCACUGUUUGGACGAGGGGCCCCUCUCGGGUUACCGAAUUCAGACAAACUCCGAAUGCCAAUUAAUUUAACUUGGGAGUCAGAACAUGGGUGAUAAGGUCCGUGUUCGAAAGGGAAACAGCCCAGACCACCAGCUAAGGUCCCAAAAUAUAUGUUAAGUGGAAAAGGAUGUGGCGUUGCCCAGACAACUAGGAUGUUGGCUUAGAAGCAGCCAUCAUUUAAAGAGUGCGUAAUAGCUCACUAGUCGAGUGACACUGCGCCGAAAAUGUACCGGGGCUAAACAUAUUACCGAAGCUGUGGAUUGUCCUUUGGACAAUGGUAGGAGAGCGUUCUAAGGGCGUUGAAGCAUGAUCGUAAGGACAUGUGGAGCGCUUAGAAGUGAGAAUGCCGGUGUGAGUAGCGAAAGACGGGUGAGAAUCCCGUCCACCGAUUGACUAAGGUUUCCAGAGGAAGGCUCGUCCGCUCUGGGUUAGUCGGGUCCUAAGCUGAGGCCGACAGGCGUAGGCGAUGGAUAACAGGUUGAU